ACUGUUGCUGUACAUGAGGAAGAAGUUGUACAAGACACAGCUGCAUCACAACCCUUCCCCUCAACAGGAGGGCUUCCUGAAGAAUAUGUAAUGCUGAGUACAUAGAUAAUGUAACUCAGAUCACAAGACAUAACUGUCUUCUUAACUCAGAUCACAAGACACAACUGAUAUACCCAGUUAGUGACUUUUGUGUCUGAACCCAUCUUCUCCUUGCUACCAGAUAUUGCUUGCUUCUGGUGCAUCCUCA
RNAcentral lists this long non-coding RNA (247 nucleotides) under Lathyrus oleraceus (garden pea). RNAcentral's name for it is "Pisum sativum (pea) long non-coding RNA (PSAT_LNC026190)". Lineage: Eukaryota; Viridiplantae; Streptophyta; Magnoliopsida; Fabales; Fabaceae. The record is from RNAcentral.